CCUACGGGUGGCUGCAGUGGGGAAUAUUGGACAAUGGGCGAAAGCCUGAUCCAGCCAUGCCGCGUGUGUGAAGAAGGCCUUCGGGUUGUAAAGCACUUUCAGUGGGGAAGAAAGCCUUGGGGCUAAUACCCUCGAGGAAGGACAUCACCCACAGAAGAAGCACCGGCUAACUCCGUGCCAGCAGCCGCGGUAAUACGGAGGGUGCGAGCGUUAAUCGGAAUUACUGGGCGUAAAGCGCGCGUAGGCGGUCUGAUAAGCCGGUUGUGAAAGCCCCGGGCUCAACCUGGGAACGGCAUCCGGAACUGUCAGGCUAGAGUGCAGGAGAGGAAGGUAGAAGUCCCGGUGUAGCGGUGAAAUGCGUAGAGAUCGGGAGGAAUACCAGUGGCGAAGGCGGCCUUCUGGACUGACACUGACGCUGAGGUGCGAAAGCGUGGGUAGCAAACAGGAUUAAUACCCCUGUAGUC
Molecule: ribosomal RNA, 464 nt
Filed under: Vreelandella stevensii
Lineage: Bacteria; Pseudomonadati; Pseudomonadota; Gammaproteobacteria; Oceanospirillales; Halomonadaceae
Description: partial 16S ribosomal RNA
Rfam family: Bacterial small subunit ribosomal RNA
Source: RNAcentral